Long non-coding RNA from Lagenorhynchus albirostris (white-beaked dolphin), 715 nucleotides. RefSeq lists it as uncharacterized. The record is from RefSeq and is a predicted model, not a curated record. Lineage: Eukaryota; Metazoa; Chordata; Mammalia; Artiodactyla; Delphinidae. The transcript has 3 exons.
AUAAAAGGAAAAGGUUGAAGAAAGACUGAACAGUGUUUGGUUGUGGAGAAAGGUUCUAAAACGAAGAUGGAAGGAUUAGAUGGAAGAAACACCUUUGCCACUGCAACAGGAGGGAAGGAACAGAGAAUGCUGUAGACAAAGGCAGAGUGGUUUGGAGGUGAAAAGGUUAGACAGCUUGCCCAAGGUCACAGGCUGAAAACGAAGAUGACAGCAUUCAAGCCCAUCCGUCUGCCCCUGGGCCUCCUCACUGAACCAGCUCUCAGCCCUGUGCCCCAACAGCCCCGCGUCAAAGCUCUUUAAAGAGCUCUACUUGGGGCAGCGCUGAAGACGAAAGCCAGGUGGGAGAUUCUGUGCUAGGAGGCAGAGCAGUAGGAGGCGGCAUCAGCUGUGGAAGAGAGAGGACGAAGCCCAGUGGUGAGAAGGGCAGGAAAGCAGAGAGGUGUGAAAUGAUCUUUUCAGGGAAGGCGUGGUGAGCUGACCAGAGAAAACAUAACAGCAUUUCCAGACAAUGAUUUUCCUAUUCUGGGCCUUCAUAUGAAUGGAAUCAUACAAUACGCAGACUACUGAGCCUACGUGCCACAACUACUGAAGCCCGCAUGCCUAGAGCCCGUGCUCCGCAACAAGAGAAGCCACUGCAAUGAGAAGCCCGCGCAUGGCAACAAAGAGUAGCCCCCACUCACCGCAACUAGAGAAAGCCCAUGCACAGCAACGAAGA